UUGGCAGUCCUGAAAACCGAAUUCCUCUAUUUAUCAACCAACCAGGGAAAAGCAUCAGUGCAGGCUUCACCACACUGCCCUGCCCAUGUGCCUCAACCCUGAGCUGGAGGGGCCACCUCUUGGGCUGAGGGGUGAGUUCUGUCUCCAGGGCCAUUCAGUGCUCAGGCUGUC
Molecule: small RNA, 171 nt
Filed under: Chrysemys picta bellii (western painted turtle)
Lineage: Eukaryota; Metazoa; Chordata; Testudines; Emydidae
Description: TUC338 (ENSCPBG00000011775.1)
Source: RNAcentral